UGCAAGUGUGGUGCCAGCAGCCGCUGUAAUUCCAGUUCCAAAAGUGUAUAUUAAAGAUGUUGCAGUUAAAAAGCCCGUAGUUGAACUUUGGGUCAGGCUGGCCGUUCUGCAUCACCGCGAGUACUGGUCCGGCGUGACCUUUCAUUAUGGGGAACUUCAGGGCCUUCACAAAGGCUGGGGGGAACCAGGAUUUUUACUGUGAAAAAAUUAGAGUGUUUAAAGCAGGCCUCAGCUAGAAUCCAGUGGCACGGAAUAAUGGAAUAUGACGCGCGGUUCUAUUUUGUUGGUUUCUAGGACCGGCCGUAAUGAUUACUAGGUUUAGUUGGGGGCGUCAGUAUUCAGACGUCAGAGGUGAAAUUUAUGGAUGUGGGAAAGACUAAGUAUUGUGAAACCAUAUGCCA
RNAcentral lists this ribosomal RNA (401 nucleotides) under uncultured fungus. RNAcentral's name for it is "bacterial SSU rRNA". It matches the Rfam family "Eukaryotic small subunit ribosomal RNA", at positions 554 to 960 of the family's 1831-position model. Lineage: Eukaryota; Fungi. The record is from RNAcentral.